Molecule: ribosomal RNA, 539 nt
Filed under: uncultured bacterium
Lineage: Bacteria
Description: bacterial SSU rRNA
Rfam family: Bacterial small subunit ribosomal RNA
Source: RNAcentral
GAGGAAUAUUGGUCAAUGGACGAAAGUCUGAACCAGCCAAGUAGCGUGCAGGAUGACGGCCCUCUGGGUUGUAAACUGCUUUUAGUUGGGAAUAAAAAAGAGGACGUGUCCUCUAUUGUAUGUACCUUCAGAAAAAGGACCGGCUAAUUCCGUGCCAGCAGCCGCGGUAAUACGGAAGGUCCAGGCGUUAUCCGGAUUUAUUGGGUUUAAAGGGAGCGUAGGCGGAUUAUUAAGUCAGUGGUGAAAGACGGUGGCUCAACCAUCGUUAGCCAUUGAAACUGGUAGUCUUGAGUGCAGACAGGGAUGCUGGAACUCGUGGUGUAGCGGUGAAAUGCUUAGAUAUCACGAUGAACUCCGAUCGCGAAGGCAGGUGUCCGGGCUGCAACUGACGCUGAGGCUCGAAAGUGUGGGUAUCAAACAGGAUUAGAUACCCUGGUAGUCCACACAGUAAACGAUGUAUACUCGCGGUUUGCGAUAGACAGUAAGCCGCCAAGCGAAAGCAUUAAGUAUACCACCUGGGGAGUACGCCGGCAACGGUG